AAACACGAAAAUCUUAUCAUAAAAAUGGUCUUCCUAGGAGUCAUGUACGUGUAAAAAAUUACAAAGAAUAAAUUAAAUAUAUUAACAGGAAUGGAUUAACUAACAUUACAUUACAUUAACUAACGAACUAAUUAACUAGCCUACAGUUAAAACCUUUGUAAUAAAACUUUCUCUAAUUUACAGUACACUAAAAAUAAUCUUCCCCAUUCAGCGAGGUUUUAAACAGUUUUAAACUAGAUAGGUGUCUGACUUCUGAUGAAAUUAUGAUGAUGAUGAUGAUUAUUUAUACAUUGGUCGUUAUCUUGACUAUACCCCAGUGUGGGUAUCUUCGCGCGCAAGUCAUUAUUAUGUGUUGCAUAGAGCAUUGGGUUCGCGUGUAAUCUAUUUUGAAAACAAUCAAAAAGGUGUCUGUGUUCCCAGCGCCUUUAUUCGAACCUAAUGAUCAGUGGUAGGGUUUAUCACCUAUAUCCCUCCAGUUAUUUCUCUCAGUCAAUCCCAGAGUCUUGAGUGUCUUGAGUCUUCGGUUAGUGGUAGGUGUAGUCUCCUUCGCAGCCCUCAUUAGGGUCGUCACGCAACGCUUCUCCCCUUGUUGCGUGACGACCCUAAUAAUGGCUGCGAAGGAGGGUGAGGCCUGGGGUAUGACUAAAGAUUUUGGACACGAAUUUGAACCUUAACUUAAAACCGUCAUUUGAGUAAAGAUUUAUCUUACAACUGCAGUUCAAUUUUUUUCACGACAGUUACUAUCGAGCAGUAACCGGCGAUUGUCAUCCGUGUUCCUGGUGCUGUACCGACAGCAACGACUGGAAGGAAGAUAUAGAGAAACAGUGCAGUGAACAGUCUAAUCUUCCAGCCAAGCAGAUAUGUCGCUACGAUGUUAACACUAUCAAGUGUGCACUUGUGGCAAAGAGCAUAUCUGCGCAUGUUUCAUCGGCAGCUACCACAAAACCUGGGGGUUUGCAAGCCAUACAGAAUACCGUGGGAGCCAAGGCCAACAGUGGAUUGUGGCUGAUUUUAGUUGCUGCUUUUGCUGCUUUUGCUUUGUGUGCCUUUGUCACACUGGUCAUUUGCUAUCAUAAAAAGCAACAAACGUUGUCCCAGUUGCUGUGUGGUAAGCCAGGCUGCGAGACUACACUUCCAAUACAAGCAGUUUGUAAUCCUGAAAAACAUUCACCUUUAGUUGUAAUAGGCGGCAAGCAAACCGGUGGGCAGAUGGUGUAAAAACCGAGCUACUAACUGGAAAGACAAAGAAGGCUCCACGAGUCCAUAGUACCUUUUGUUUGGUUGAUAUUUCGUUACAUCAUGUAAAGUGCUGCAAUACAUAAUACGAACAUAAAACGGACUCUCUGCGAGUUCUGACUCAAAGGAUACUGUUGCGUUGACUGAUAGGACAUGUGAUACGCUGAAUGGACAAAACGUCACCUGCACUGUUUUAAAGUUUCGUUAUAAAAAGGAAUUGACUGUAACGCAGACUAUUUCUGUCCGUCUGUACGAUCCGCACAAAUCGCGCGGAUCGUCAAACCGUUUCACGCACUCACCGAAGUUAGGACGCAAGAAUAUCACUUGCAAUCAAUGAGAUGCACUUUUCGGUCUGUACACUGACCGGAAACAGUUAACCGUCGGUCAAACUGUACGGAUGAUAAAGUUUUUUUUUCUCCAGCUGUAUCAGUUUGCCGACACUGGACAACCCUCAACUAAGGUCUAGUUCACACUAGCGACAUAACGACACAACAUUACAACGUAAGAAAGACGACAUGUCGUUAUGUUUGCAGUGUCAACAUUCUGACAUAAUUAUACAUAACAACAUUACAGCGUGAACAUGGCAACAUCAAGGAAAAAAAAAACCCUGAUAUUUGCCGGCGUUAUGUCUUUAUAUCGAUGUUCACAUUACCGACAUAAGCGAUUAGGUCGUUGUGCCGUUAUGUCACUAGUGUGAACUAGACCGAACGGAAUAGAAAACAAUCAGACAUAGAGUGUAAUAAAUACCUUUUAUUUGUAAGCUUUAUUUUCUGAAAUAUAAUUUUGAUAUUACUGAUCAAUAUGUUCUCAGAAAAGAUAUAUUUUUAAGCUAAUGUUACAAUUGUAUAUUUUUUAGUGAAGUUCCCUUUUAAAACACUGCCUAGAUAGUAUUUUGUAUUUCCCACCCUUUCAAACAGAAGCCUUUAGUUACUCUUUUUGUAAUACUAAAACAAGCACGAAUCAGUCAAGUCAAGUCAAGUCAAGAAUAUCUUUACAUCUUUAAAGAAAUCUAAAAUAACUCCUUACGGAAUAGCUAUAAAGGAAGACAAUAAGGGAUUAUAAAACUAGGAUUUCAUUUAAUGUGAAUUUGCUUUUAACCAUGUGAGGUACAAUCCGAGUUAGGUCGAGUUAGUUCAAGACAGAGUAUAUUAUUUUUCAGAGUAAAUUUAGUAAACAAUAUCUCGUGAACUUUCAUUUCGACGUAUGUGUAAAUUUCCAUACCCUGUUUAAAACACUGGUUAAGGGCAUGACUAUAUAACUUAUAUAUUUCAAAAUUGCUAUUGAAAUUUUCAAAUAAAUAGGUAAGUACGA
Orbicella faveolata is the source of this 2547-nucleotide long non-coding RNA. Lineage: Eukaryota; Metazoa; Cnidaria; Anthozoa; Scleractinia; Merulinidae. The record is from RefSeq and is a predicted model, not a curated record.